This 253-nucleotide ribosomal RNA is filed under the name uncultured bacterium. RNAcentral describes it as "partial 16S ribosomal RNA". It matches the Rfam family "Bacterial small subunit ribosomal RNA", at positions 524 to 776 of the family's 1533-position model. The record is from RNAcentral.
GACAGAGGGGGCAAGCGUUGCUCGGAAUUACUGGGCGUAAAGGGCGCGUAGGCGGGAUGGCAAGUCGGUCGUGAAAUCCCUCGGCUCAACUGAGGAACGUCGAUCGAUACUGCCGUUCUUGAGGAUUGCAGAGGAGACUGGAAUUCCCGGUGUAGCGGUGAAAUGUGUAGAGAUCGGGAGGAACACCGGUGGCGAAGGCGGGUCUCUGGGCAAUUCCUGACGCUGAGGCGCGAAAGCGUGGGGAGCAAACGGG